AAUUUAAAAGACAGUAGUUAAACUCUACUAUUAAGGG
This 37-nucleotide transfer RNA is filed under the name Diadema antillarum. Its description in RNAcentral is "partial tRNA-Lys". Lineage: Eukaryota; Metazoa; Echinodermata; Echinoidea; Diadematoida; Diadematidae. RNAcentral also lists the same sequence under 1 other name. The record is from RNAcentral.